GCAAUAAUCGUGCCUGGGAUAAACCUCAUUGGCUACGAUACUGCCACUUGAAGAAUUUUCCCAAUAC
Non-coding RNA from Arvicanthis niloticus (Nile rat), 67 nucleotides. The record is from RefSeq and is a predicted model, not a curated record. NCBI's taxonomy places the organism in Eukaryota, Metazoa, Chordata, Mammalia, Rodentia, Muridae.